GGUUAAGCGACUAAGCGUACACGGUGGAUGCCCUGGCAGUCAGAGGCGAUGAAGGACGUGCUAAUCUGCGAAAAGCGUCGGUAAGGUGAUAUGAACCGUUAUAGCCGGCGAUGUCCGAAUGGGGAAACCCAGUGCAAUUCGUUGCACUAUCGUUAACUGAAUACAUAGGUUAACGAGGCGAACCGGGGGAACUGAAACAUCUAAGUACCCCGAGGAAAAGAAAUCAACCGAGAUUCCCCCAGUAGCGGCGAGCGAACGGGGAGCAGCCCAGAGUCUGAAUCAGCUUGUGUGUUAGUGGAACGGUCUGGAAAGUCCGACGGUACAGGGUGAUAGUCCCGUACACCAAAAUGCACAGGCUGUGAACUCGAAGAGUAGGGCGGGACACGUGGUAUCCUGUCUGAAUAUGGGGGGACCAUCCUCCAAGGCUAAAUACUCCUGACUGACCGAUAGUGAACCAGUACCGUGAGGGAAAGGCGAAAAGAACCCCGGCGAGGGGAGUGAAAAAGAACCUGAAACCGUGUACGUACAAGCAGUGGGAGCACCUUCGGGUGUGACUGCGUACCUUUUGUAUAAUGGGUCAGCGACUUAUAUUCUGUAGCAAGGUUAACCGUAUAGGGGAGCCGCAGGGAAACCGAGUCUUAACUGGGCGUUAAGUUGCAGGGUAUAGACCCGAAACCCGGUGAUCUAGCCAUGGGCAGGUUGAAGGUUGGGUAACACUAACUGGAGGACCGAACCGACUAAUGUUGAAAAAUUAGCGGAUGACUUGUGGCUGGGGGUGAAAGGCCAAUCAAACCGGGAGAUAGCUGGUUCUCCCCGAAAGCUAUUUAGGUAGCGCCUCGUGAAUUCAUCUUCGGGGGUAGAGCACUGUUUCGGCUAGGGGGUCAUCCCGACUUACCAACCCGAUGCAAACUACGAAUACCGAAGAAUGUUAUCACGGGAGACACACGGCGGGUGCUAACGUCCGUCGUGAAGAGGGAAACAACCCAGACCGCCAGCUAAGGUCCCAAAGUCAUGGUUAAGUGGGAAACGAUGUGGGAAGGCACAGACAGCCAGGAUGUUGGCUUAGAAGCAGCCAUCAUUUAAAGAAAGCGUAAUAGCUCACUGGUCGAGUCGGCCUGCGCGGAAGAUGUAACGGGGCUAAACCAUGCACCGAAGCUGCGGCAGCGACACUAUGUGUUGUUGGGUAGGGGAGCGUUCUGUAAGCCUGCGAAGGUGGCCUGUGAGGGUUGCUGGAGGUAUCAGAAGUGCGAAUGCUGACAUAAGUAACGAUAAAGCGGGUGAAAAGCCCGCUCGCCGGAAGACCAAGGGUUCCUGUCCCAACGUUAAUCGGGGCAGGGUGAGUCGACCCCUAAGGCGAGGCCGAAAGGCGUAGUCGAUGGGAAACAGGUUAAUAUUCCUGUACUUGGUGUUACUGCGAAGGGGGGACGGAGAAGGCUAUGUUAGCCGGGCGACGGUUGUCCCGGUUUAAGCAUGUAGGCUGGUUAUCCAGGCAAAUCCGGAUAAUCAAGGCUGAGGUGUGAUGACGAGGCACUACGGUGCUGAAGUAACAAAUGCCCUGCUUCCAGGAAAAGCCUCUAAGCAUCAGGUAACAUCAAAUCGUACCCCAAACCGACACAGGUGGUCAGGUAGAGAAUACCAAGGCGCUUGAGAGAACUCGGGUGAAGGAACUAGGCAAAAUGGUGCCGUAACUUCGGGAGAAGGCACGCUGGUGUGUAGGUGAAGUCCCUGCGGAUGGAGCUGAGACCAGUCGAAGAUACCAGCUGGCUGCAACUGUUUAUUAAAAACACAGCACUGUGCAAACACGAAAGUGGACGUAUACGGUGUGACGCCUGCCCGGUGCCGGAAGGUUAAUUGAUGGGGUUAUCCGUAAGGAGAAGCUCUUGAUCGAAGCCCCGGUAAACGGCGGCGCCGUAACUAUAACGGUCCUAAGGUAGCGAAAUUCCUUGUCGGGUAAGUUCCGACCUGCACGAAUGGCGUAAUGAUGGCCAGGCUGUCUCCACCCGAGACUCAGUGAAAUUGAACUCGCUGUGAAGAUGCAGUGUACCCGCGGCAAGACGGAAAGACCCCGUGAACCUUUACUAUAGCUUGACACUGAACAUUGAGCCUUGAUGUGUAGGAUAGGUGGGAGGCUUUGAAGCGUGGACGCCAGUCUGCGUGGAGCCAACCUUGAAAUACCACCCUUUAAUGUUUGAUGUUCUAACGUUGGCCCCUGACCGGGGUUGCGGACAGUGUCUGGUGGGUAGUUUGACUGGGGCGGUCUCCUCCCAAAGCGUAACGGAGGAGCACGAAGGUUAGCUAAUCCUGGUCGGACAUCAGGAGGUUAGUGCAAUGGCAUAAGCUAGCUUGACUGCGAGCGUGACGGCGCGAGCAGGUGCGAAAGCAGGUCAUAGUGAUCCGGUGGUUCUGAAAUGGAAGGGCCAUCGCUCAACGGAUAAAAGGUACUCCGGGGAUAACAGGCUGAUACCGCCCAAGAGUUCAUAUCGACGGCGGUGUUUGGCACCUCGAUGUCGGCUCAUCACAUCCUGGGGCUGAAGUAGGUCCCAAGGGUAUGGCUGUUCGCCAUUUAAAGUGGUACGCGAGCUGGGUUUAGAACGUCGUGAGACAGUUCGGUCCCUAUCUGCCGUGGGCGCUGGAGAAUUGAGGGGGGCUGCUCCUAGUACGAGAGGACCGGAGUGGACGCAUCACUGGUGUUCGGGUUGUCAUGCCAAUGGCACUGCCCGGUAGCUAAAUGCGGAAGAGAUAAGUGCUGAAAGCAUCUAAGCACGAAACUUGCCCCGAGAUGAGUUCUCCCUGAGACUUUAAGUCUCCUGAAGGAACGUUGAAGACGACGACGUUGAUAGGCCGGGUGUGUAAGCGCAGCGAUGCGUUGAGCUAACCGGUACUAAUGAACCGUGAGGCUUAACCUU
Molecule: ribosomal RNA, 2906 nt
Filed under: Klebsiella pneumoniae
Lineage: Bacteria; Pseudomonadati; Pseudomonadota; Gammaproteobacteria; Enterobacterales; Enterobacteriaceae
Description: 23S ribosomal RNA
Rfam family: Bacterial large subunit ribosomal RNA
Source: RNAcentral